This is a non-coding RNA of Lonchura striata (white-rumped munia), 963 nucleotides long. Lineage: Eukaryota; Metazoa; Chordata; Aves; Passeriformes; Estrildidae. The record is from RefSeq and is a predicted model, not a curated record.
CAUCAGUGGUAACAGAGAAACAUUCUCCCUGGCCAGCAACAUGACUGGUAAAAGACAGCACACUGAAUGAAUUGGAUUGAUGAGUGGAUGAUUCCUUGGUGAAAAGCUGGAUGGCUCUAGCUUUCUAACACAGUCAACUUAAUGAGAGAGAAAAGCAAUUAAAAUUGGGAUUAAUGACCUUGGCCUGAUCUAUGUCUGGAGGGAACUGAAUCACAGCAAGCUCUAAAGAAGAGAUGGCAAGCCAGUGGAAUUAAAGAGGAUGUAAUGAAUGCCAAGAAAAAUGAUGAAAAGGAUGGAGGCUGGAAUUCUUCACACUGGAAAAAAAGAAAGGAGAUACAUGAUUGAGGGCAAGAGGAAUGCCCUGGAAGCCUUGGCCAAGUCUGUCUGCUAUUUACUGAAGUAGCACCUCCUCUUCAGCUGCUGAAGGAAAAACACUGUUCUGGGCAAAGCAUUCAUCUCACCAAGAAAGGCAUUCCUUUUGUUACUGUUUUCAGCUACGGUUUUAAGUUAUCCUGAAGUAUAUAUUUAAUCAAUGGAAAGAUGGAGGAAAGAUGCUCCAGCCCUCUGAUCAUCUUCAUGGCAUUUCUCUGGACCUCUCUCAAACAGGUCUGUGUCCUCCCUGUGCUGGGGCCCAGAGCUGGCUGCAGCACCUCAGGCAAGAAGUAUAUAUGUGUCUGCUACUUUUGUCAGCUUGGCUACAACAGAAAUAUUUGGCCAACAGCAUCACGAAGUGCCAAGAAAUAAAAGAUUAAACUGCAUUUUCAAGCACAAUUGGAGAAGAACUUGGUAUAUUGCAGCAAUCUGACCAGUCAGAGUCAACAAACAGCUUCAAAGUGGAAAGUUGUCCUAAGAGGCAAAAUAUUAACUCCAGUCACUGCUGCCCCUUUGCCCAUCACUACUUUGGUUAAGAAGGGUGUAGAGCAGAUACAACACCGAGCAUGAAUAUUGCACAGGACACUUUUU